Limulus polyphemus (Atlantic horseshoe crab) is the source of this 133-nucleotide long non-coding RNA. RefSeq lists it as uncharacterized. The transcript has 3 exons. The record is from RefSeq and is a predicted model, not a curated record. NCBI's taxonomy places the organism in Eukaryota, Metazoa, Arthropoda, Merostomata, Xiphosura, Limulidae.
UCAAAAUACUUCAUUAAAACCUGAUUUUUUGUGUACAAAAGACUUGUAAUGUUUAUUAAAAGUCUGCCAAUGAUUGUGAAGAUACACAACGUGUAUUAAAAGUUAUAGUAUGGAAACUGUACCUAGAACAGAA